RNAcentral lists this transfer RNA (76 nucleotides) under Hyphomicrobiaceae bacterium. RNAcentral's name for it is "tRNA-Val". It matches the Rfam family "tRNA". From Rfam's summary of the family: Transfer RNA (tRNA) molecules are approximately 80 nucleotides in length. Their secondary structure includes four short double-helical elements and three loops (D, anti-codon, and T loops). The record is from RNAcentral. Lineage: Bacteria; Pseudomonadati; Pseudomonadota; Alphaproteobacteria; Hyphomicrobiales; Hyphomicrobiaceae.
GGGCGGUUAGCUCAGCUGGGAGAGCGCCUGGUUUACACCCAGGAGGUCGGCAGUUCGAUCCUGUCACCGCCCACCA